This 201-nucleotide long non-coding RNA is filed under the name Ictidomys tridecemlineatus (thirteen-lined ground squirrel). Its description in RNAcentral is "lncRNA (ENSSTOG00000031335.1)". Lineage: Eukaryota; Metazoa; Chordata; Mammalia; Rodentia; Sciuridae. The record is from RNAcentral.
GAUGAGGAAUAGAAGAGUGUGUGUUUUUCUGGACCUUUUGGCUAUGUCUUCUUUGUUCUGAUGACCGACUUGCAGCCAUCAAGACUGGAACAUCUACUAGCCUGUCCCUGAAAGACUGUGGAACAGAUUGUACUAUGCACACCUGUUGGCAUAUCUGAUGAAGCCAUUGCCUUCUUCCCAGUGGUCCAAUGUGGAUACUUA